UUUUUUUUUUUUUUUUUUUUUUUUUUCUGUGCACACUCAUGUCCAACACUGUGCUGCAAGUUUGCAAACAAUCGCAGAGG
RNAcentral lists this non-coding RNA (80 nucleotides) under Prorocentrum micans. Lineage: Eukaryota; Dinophyceae; Prorocentrales; Prorocentraceae. The record is from RNAcentral.